CUCCCCAAAUACUUUGUGCCCUAACCUAACUCAGUCUUCGAUUCCUCCGAAUCUCCGACGGUCCGAGAUGAAGAUUUAGCCAUUUCUUCUUGUUCGGUUGUUCCGAGUCUCCGACGAGCUUAAGGCUCCGUGAGUCCGUAGUUCCGACUCCUGAGUUCGACUUCCGCCCAAGCUAUUCCUAGCUUCAACCGUCCGACUCUGAGGUUCGACCAUCCAAGCUUCAAUCAGACCAGCAGAUUGGAAGGAAUGUCUAGAAGGAGUAAUGAACGAUGAAGAGGCUAAACUCCGUAACUCUUGAUAAAAAAGAGAAGAGAUUGGGCUGCGUGGGGAUCAUCGGGGAGUAAGAAGAGCAAGAAGGGUAUGAGUUAUGAGUUAUGACUUAUGUUGUUAACUUUUUUAUUUCGAGAGUUUGAGUUAUGAGUUGGACCUUGAAUUUUGAUAAUUUGUAACAAUAUUUUGUGUUUUUAUCAUUUUA
Non-coding RNA from Punica granatum (pomegranate), 475 nucleotides. Lineage: Eukaryota; Viridiplantae; Streptophyta; Magnoliopsida; Myrtales; Lythraceae. The record is from RefSeq and is a predicted model, not a curated record.